This 379-nucleotide unclassified non-coding RNA is filed under the name uncultured Gammaproteobacteria bacterium. Its description in RNAcentral is "contains 16S-23S intergenic spacer region". The record is from RNAcentral. Lineage: Bacteria; Pseudomonadati; Pseudomonadota; Gammaproteobacteria.
UCCGGUUUGUCACCGGCAGUCUCACUAAAGUGCCCAACUAAAUGCUGGCAAUUAGUGACAAGGGUUGCGCUCGUUGCGGGACUUAACCCAACAUCUCACGACACGAGCUGACGACAGCCAUGCAGCACCUGUGUCCAGGCUCCCUUUCGGGCACACCCGCCUCUCAGCAGGCUUCCUGGCAUGUCAAGGGUAGGUAAGGUUUUUCGCGUUGCAUCGAAUUAAUCCACAUCAUCCACCGCUUGUGCGGGUCCCCGUCAAUUCCUUUGAGUUUUAACCUUGCGGCCGUACUCCCCAGGCGGUCAACUUCACGCGUUAGCUUCGUUACUAAGGAAGUUUCCUUCCCCAACAACCAGUUGACAUCGUUUAGGGCGUGGACUAC